Molecule: ribosomal RNA, 508 nt
Filed under: uncultured bacterium
Lineage: Bacteria
Description: partial 16S ribosomal RNA
Rfam family: Bacterial small subunit ribosomal RNA
Source: RNAcentral
GACGAACGCUGGCGGCGUGCCUAAUACAUGCAAGUCGAACGCUUCUUUCCUCCCGAGUGCUUGCACUCGAUUGGCAAGAGGAGUGGCGGACGGGUGAGUAACACGUGGGUAACCUACCCAUCAGAGGGGGAUAACACUUGGAAACAGGUGCUAAUACCGCAUAACAGUUUAUGCCGCAUGGCAUACGAGUGAAAGGCGCUUUCGGGUGUCGCUGAUGGAUGGACCCGCGGUGCAUUAGCUAGUUGGUGAGGUAACGGCUCACCAAGGCCACGAUGCAUAGCCGACCUGAGAGGGUGAACGGCCACACUGGGACUGAGACACGGCCCAGACUCCUACGGGAGGCAGCAGUAGGGAAUCUUCGGCAAUGGACGAAAGUCUGACCGAGCAACGCCGCGUGAGUGAAGAAGGUUUUCGGAUCUUAAAACUCUGUUGUUAGAGAAGAACAAGGACGUUAGUAACUGAACGUCUCCUGACGGUAUCUAAACAGAAAGCCACGGCUAACUACGUG